CUCAGGAUUGAUCACUAAAGAAUGAAUUUCAUCUCGGUUCAUUUCAUCUGUCUGAAAGCUAGGUAUCAAGAAGCCACUGUAGUGAAAACAAAGAAAUGUACACACAUCCAAUGGACCAUCCUCCUUCCGUGUUCACAAUAUCAUCUAGUCUAUCAGUCUGCUGAUUCAGAGACACGUAUAACCUUCUCUGAAGAAAGGUACCUCAAAUGAGGUACCUGUACUAGUCUGGCUGGGAUGGAGUUAACUUUCUCCAUACAACCUUGUACGGUGUUGUGUUUUGGGUUUGUGGCUUAAGAAGUUUUGAUAACACACCAUUGUUUUGGCUAUUGCUGAACAGUGCUUGCACAGCAUCAAAUCUUUUCCUUUUUCCCACCCUGUUCCCAGUCCUUGCUAGGAGGUCAACUUGUUUGGAGGUCAACAAGAGACUGGGAGGAGGGACAGAUAGGACAGCUGUCCUGAAUUGUCCGAAGGGAUAUUGCCUGCCAUAUAAUGUCAUGCUUAGCAAUAAAAAGUGGGGUAGAGGAGGAAGAAGGAGGUUUGGGGCUUCAAAGGUGGCCAGUGCCAUCAGAGACUGGAUGGGCACUGGUCUGCUUGUGAGAGAUGGGUAGGGGUGAGUGAGUGGCUGUGUGGAUUAUUGCAUACUGGAGGAUAUCAACCCACCACAGUAGCAGUUGUUCUCUGUUCCUAAACAACAUAUGAAAGAAGAAACGAGCCAAAUGUAAGCCACAUAAAUUGGAAGUAAAACAACACAAAAAUGCUAACUUCUGAGGAAAUAAUAGAGAAAUGAGUGUUAAAUUACCUACAUCGACUGGAUGUUCUGGCAGAGCACCUCAAUAAUGUUUUGCUGAUUCUCAUGACCUCUGUAUCCGAUGAUGCUUUGCCUAUCCAUUCCACAUGCAAAGAAGAGAUUCUUGUCCAAAGUCAUAUCUAUGAAGCUGUAUUUAAUGUGCUCCUGAGCAAUCCAUCUGAGUGCUGUGCCUGUGGCAAUAUCACAGGAAAUGCCAAUGCACAGCACGGAAAAUGUCAGCUUUCUACGAGACAAGCAAAGAAAUGCUAUUCCUUUAUGCUAUAAUAUGAUGCCUCAUGCAGUUUUCUUGGAGACAAAAAGCCCAAAGAGAGCAGGAAGGAGGAAGAGGAGGAUUCCAGGCCCUGAGAGCAGCCAGGCAGAGCGGCGUGUCCCUGGCACAGGAGGAGUGGAGGACAUGCGUUCCUCUGGGAUUAUGCAGAGCUGCUGGAAGUGAAGCUUGAAAACCGGCAGAACGGAAGCUUGGAAACUGAGCCCUGGACUGAAGCUGGUAAUUUACCUUAUUUGAAAUAAAAACAGCUUAAGUUGAAGCCA
Molecule: long non-coding RNA, 1339 nt
Filed under: Anas platyrhynchos platyrhynchos (common mallard)
Lineage: Eukaryota; Metazoa; Chordata; Aves; Anseriformes; Anatidae
Description: lncRNA (ENSAPLG00000024936.1)
Source: RNAcentral